RNAcentral lists this long non-coding RNA (278 nucleotides) under Elaeis guineensis (African oil palm). Its description in RNAcentral is "long non-coding RNA (EGUI_LNC032121)". The record is from RNAcentral. Lineage: Eukaryota; Viridiplantae; Streptophyta; Magnoliopsida; Arecales; Arecaceae.
AGCUUGAAGAACGUUUUGGCCAUGCUUGAGUUGGCUUGACCAAUUGAGCUUGAUACUCAAUUUGGUCCGACUAUUCUUUGAUACAUCUAAUUCGUCGAGUUCAGCAAGCUGAUAUAGUGAGAAGUGACCACCUAAAGAUGAGAAGCGAGAGCUUAAAUCCUUGAUUAUUAAUUCACUAAUCUUUAAUUUUCCUUCAACCUUUCAGCUCUCUACAUCUCUCUGUCUCCUUCUAUUCACCCACUUCUAGCAUUAAUCUCUCCUCUUCACCCACUUCCACC